UGCCAUCAUUCAAAACACCUUGGAAAUUGUUUUAAAGAAUAUGAAGCAUUAAGUGUCAGUUAAGUGUUCUUGUUAAAUCAGACUACUAGUAUUGCUGUUAUUUUAAUUAGAAGUAGUUUAUUGACAUAAAAAUUACAGCUUGUUUUGUGUCUCUGGCUUUGCUAUGGACCAGGCAGAGGUCCCUGUCCUCACCAGGCUUCUUUGUUUCUCCAGUGUUAGUAGGUCUGCAGCACUAGCCUCUCCUGUCUUCUCAUACAUUUUCCAAUAUUCCUGCACACAGUCAUUAACAUUUUAAUG
RNAcentral lists this long non-coding RNA (297 nucleotides) under Bos taurus (domestic cattle). RNAcentral's name for it is "long non-coding RNA NONBTAT020294". The record is from RNAcentral. Lineage: Eukaryota; Metazoa; Chordata; Mammalia; Artiodactyla; Bovidae.